GCUAGUGUGGCGUAUUGGUUUUAGCAUUGGACUGCAACUCUGGAGAUCAGGGUUUGAUUCCCUGCCUACCA
Phrynosoma platyrhinos (Desert horned lizard) is the source of this 71-nucleotide non-coding RNA. NCBI's taxonomy places the organism in Eukaryota, Metazoa, Chordata, Lepidosauria, Squamata, Phrynosomatidae. The record is from the annotation of a GenBank genome assembly.